CCUCCAGACUCCUACGGGAGGCAGCAGUGAGGAAUAUUGGUCAAUGGGCGGAAGCCUGAACCAGCCAAGUCGCGUGAGGGAAGAAGGCCCUGCGGGUCGCAGACCUCUUUGGACGGGGAGCAAGGCCGCCGACGUGUCGGCGGAAGGAGAGUACCCGUAGAACAAGCACCGGCUAACUCCGUGCCAGCAGCCGCGGUAAUACGGGGGGUGCGAGCGUUAAUCGGAAUUACUGGGCGUAAAGCGCACGUAGGCUGUUGUGUAAGUCAGGGGUGAAAUCCCACGGCUCAACCGUGGAACUGCCCUUGAUACUGCAUGACUGGAAUCCGGGAGAGGGUGGCGGAAUUCCAGGUGUAGGAGUGAAAUCCGUAGAUAUCUGGAGGAACAUCAGUGGCGAAGGCGGCCACCUGGACCGGUAUUGACGCUGAGGUGCGAAAGCGUGGGGAGCAAACAGGAUUAGAUACCCCCGUA
Molecule: ribosomal RNA, 468 nt
Filed under: uncultured bacterium
Lineage: Bacteria
Description: bacterial SSU rRNA
Rfam family: Bacterial small subunit ribosomal RNA
Source: RNAcentral